UAAUACGGAGGUUCCAAGCGUUGUUCGGAAUUACUGGGCGUAAAGGGAGCGCAGGCGGACAGGUCAGUUUAAAGUGGAAUCCCAGGGCUCAACCCUGGACGUGCUUUGGAUACUGCCUGUCUUGAGUUCGUGAGAGGAAAGUGGAAUUCAGGGUGUAGCGGUGAAAUGCUUAGAUAUCCUGAGGAACACCAGUGGCGAAAGCGACUUUCUGGCACGAAACUGACGCUGAGGCUCGAAAGCAUGGGUAGCGAACGGGAUUAGAUACCCCGGUAGUCCAUGCCGUAAACGUUGUAUACUAGGUGCGGGAGGUAUCGACCCCUUCCGUGCCGAAGCUAACGCAUUAAGUAUACCGCCUGGGGAGUACGCGCGCAAGCGUGAAACUCAAAGGAAUUGACGG
Molecule: ribosomal RNA, 397 nt
Filed under: bacterium enrichment culture
Lineage: Bacteria
Description: bacterial SSU rRNA
Rfam family: Bacterial small subunit ribosomal RNA
Source: RNAcentral